AUGGCGGGAAUCGGGGUUGAACUGUGGCUGCUCGCGUACGCCGGCGCGGGUGGAACCAGCAGCGAGGAGGAGAGGGGAGCAGGGGCGCGCGACUGGAGGAGGUCGCUAAGGCAAGGCAGCAGCUUCAGCGGGUCCGGUGGUGGACUUGGAGCUCCGGACGGCGAGGGACUUGAGGCCACGGGGGUCCAGGUGGCACGGUCGUCAGUGGCCACAGCGGAGGCGCUGGCCUGCUUCAGCGGAACGAGAACGAUGGGCAUCGGGGGACCGCCCUGGCGUCUUAAAGCAGGGGGAAGGCAGAGGAGGCGCUAUGGCCAUGGCGGAGAGGUGAGGGCGACGGGAUCCUGGUGGGGCUCGGCGGCGGCGUCGCUGUGUGGGAACGAGGGAGAUGAGUUGCAGGGAUGGAUCUGGGCAUGUAGAUCAAGAAGAGUGGCGACGUGA
Molecule: ribosomal RNA, 438 nt
Filed under: Triticum aestivum (bread wheat)
Lineage: Eukaryota; Viridiplantae; Streptophyta; Magnoliopsida; Poales; Poaceae
Description: partial small subunit ribosomal RNA
Source: RNAcentral